RNAcentral lists this ribosomal RNA (233 nucleotides) under uncultured bacterium. Its description in RNAcentral is "partial 16S ribosomal RNA". It matches the Rfam family "Bacterial small subunit ribosomal RNA", at positions 539 to 771 of the family's 1533-position model. The record is from RNAcentral.
CGUUGUCCGGAAUUAUUGGGCGUAAAGGGUGCGUAGACGGCCCUGCAAGUUGGAUGUGAAAUACCCGUGCUUAACAUGGGAACUGCAUCCAAAACUGUGGGGCUUGAGUGUGGAAGAGGUAAGUGGAAUUCCCAGUGUAGCGGUGAAAUGCGUAGAUAUUGGGAGGAACACCAGUGGCGAAGGCGACUUACUGGGCCACAACUGACGCUGAGGCACGAAAGCGGUGGGGAGAC